AAAAGGUCUCCGCUUGGUGACCAGCGGAGGGAUCAUUACCGAGUUUACAACUCCCAAACCCCAAUGUGAACGUUACCAAUCUGUUGCCUCGGCGGGAUUCUCUUGCCCCGGGCGCGUCGCAGCCCCGGAUCCCAUGGCGCCCGCCGGAGGACCAACUCCAAACUCUUUUUUUCUCUCCGUCGCGGCUCCCGUCGCGGCUCUGUUUUAUUUUUGCUCUGAGCCUUUCUCGGCGACCCUAGCGGGCGUCUCGAAAAUGAAUCAAAACUUUCAACAACGGAUCUCUUGGUUCUGGCAUCGAUGAAGAACGCAGCGAAAUGCGAUAAGUAAUGUGAAUUGCAGAAUUCAGUGAAUCAUCGAAUCUUUGAACGCACAUUGCGCCCGCCAGUAUUCUGGCGGGCAUGCCUGUCCGAGCGUCAUUUCAACCCUCGAACCCCUCCGGGGGGUCGGCGUUGGGGAUCGGCCCCUCACCGGGCCGCCCCCGAAAUACAGUGGCGGUCUCGCCGCAGCCUCUCCUGCGCAGUAGUUUGCACACUCGCACCGGGAGCGCGGCGCGGCCACAGCCGUAAAACACCCCAAACUUCUGAAAUGUUGACCUCGGAUCAGGUAGGAAUACCCGCUGAACUUAAGCAUAUCAAUAAGCCGGGAGGAAA
RNAcentral lists this ribosomal RNA (650 nucleotides) under Trichoderma longibrachiatum. Its description in RNAcentral is "eukaryotic LSU rRNA". The stretch from base 263 to 416 matches the Rfam family "5.8S ribosomal RNA". The record is from RNAcentral. Lineage: Eukaryota; Fungi; Ascomycota; Sordariomycetes; Hypocreales; Hypocreaceae.